GCAAAACCAGUGGGCCUUGACAGGGCAUCGACAAGGGCGCUGUUGUAAAUGACCUUUCAUGUCCAAACCCAAGGCAAGGGCCCAGUGCCAUCUAUGUAGUACUACAGCCUAAGCUUGAUGACCAACAUGGUGAGUCUUGUGUGUGUGCACCAAAACUCACUCAUAGUGAGGUCCAACCCGUCCCACCUAGCAAGGUUUGGCAGUAGUGGAGCAGGUGUGGGGUAGCACUAUGUGAAGUAAAUGACAAGACGGAGAGGGGAUAAGGGCAAACUUGCAGGCCAAGGCCCAGUCGGUCAUUGCUGAAUGGGUAGAGCCUUGUGUAGAAGUAGG
Molecule: long non-coding RNA, 330 nt
Filed under: Spirodela polyrhiza (greater duckweed)
Lineage: Eukaryota; Viridiplantae; Streptophyta; Magnoliopsida; Alismatales; Araceae
Description: long non-coding RNA (SPOL_LNC001166)
Source: RNAcentral